GAUGAACGCUGGCGGCGUGCCUAAUACAUGCAAGUCGAGCGAACGGACGAGAAGCUUGCUUCUCUGAUGUUAGCGGCGGACGGGUGAGUAACACGUGGAUAACCUACCUAUAAGACUGGGAUAACUUCGGGAAACCGGAGCUAAUACCGGAUAAUAUUUUGAACCGCAUGGUUCAAAAGUGAAAGACGGUCUUGCUGUCACUUAUAGAUGAAUCCGCGCUGCAUUCGCUAGUUGGUAAGGUAACGGCUUACCAAGGCAACGAUGCAUAGCCGACCUGAGAGGGUGAUCGGCCACCCUGGAACUGAGACACGGUCCCGACUCCGGCGCGGGGCAGCAGUAGGGAAUCCUCCGCAAUGGGCCAAUGCCUGAUGGAGCAACGCCGCCUGAGUCAUGAAGGUCUUCUGAUCGUAAAGCUCUGUUAUUAGGGAAGAACAUAUGUGUAAUUACCUGUGCACAUCUUGACGGUACCUAAUCAGAAAGCCACGGCUAACUACGUG
Molecule: ribosomal RNA, 497 nt
Filed under: uncultured bacterium
Lineage: Bacteria
Description: partial 16S ribosomal RNA
Rfam family: Bacterial small subunit ribosomal RNA
Source: RNAcentral